This 431-nucleotide ribosomal RNA is filed under the name uncultured bacterium. RNAcentral describes it as "partial 16S ribosomal RNA". It matches the Rfam family "Bacterial small subunit ribosomal RNA", at positions 29 to 507 of the family's 1533-position model. The record is from RNAcentral.
AACGAACGCUGGCGGCAGGCUUAACACAUGCAAGUCGAGCGCCCCGCCAGGGGAGCGGCAGACGGGUGAGUAACGCGUGGGAACGUACCUUUUGGUUCGGAACAACUCCGGGAAACUGGAGCUAAUACCGGAUAAGCCCUAACGGGGAAAGAUUUAUCGCCGAAAGAUCGGCCCGCGUCUGAUUAGCUAGUUGGUGAGGUAACGGCUCACCAAGGCGACGAUCAGUAGCUGGUCUGAGAGGAUGAUCAGCCACACUGGGACUGAGACACGGCCCAGACUCCUCCGGGAGGCAGCAGUGGGGAAUAUUGGACAAUGGGCGCAAGCCUGAACCAGCCAUGCCGCGUGAGUGAUGAAGGCCUUAGGGUUGUAAAGCUCUUUUGUCCGGGAAGAUAAUGACUGGGCCGUAAGAAUAAGCCCCGGCUAACUUCGUG